Non-coding RNA from Peromyscus maniculatus bairdii (prairie deer mouse), 751 nucleotides. The record is from RefSeq and is a predicted model, not a curated record. Lineage: Eukaryota; Metazoa; Chordata; Mammalia; Rodentia; Cricetidae.
AUGGCUCACAUAGAAAACCACUGGCCACAUAAACAUGUUUAGCUGAUACUGCUAGCAUCUCACUGAACCAGUUAGGUUGGCGUUUCAAAAGCCUGAGACACCCCCAUCUCGAGGUCAUCCCUGGAGGAUUAGAGGGCUACCUGGUUCCUUCCCUCAGCUCUCCUUCCUCACCCACUCCCUUGGUACCAGGGCAUUGAAGAGCUGCAUCCAGUUUCCAAAAUGGCGGCUUCUGUGCUCCUGAGUGAAGUUCCAGUUUCUACCAAAGAUCCUGCUUCUUCCAGGCCUGUCUGAAUGAUACCAGUUCCUUCCACUGAUUGGUCUGACUGUUUCCUGGGUUCUCUGCACUCUCACCUUCUGUGAAUCCUCUAUUGCUGGAGACAAGCUGGAUAUCCGUCAGGAAGACUCUGAUCAAUGACAAAGCAUCGAGUCAACAGCCAAAACCUAACAAGAUUGCUUUGAAUGAGGAGCUACAGAAUUAAGCUUUAAGGGGAUGGAAGAGGGGAAGAACAGAGAGAUGGCUUAGUGGUUAGGAGCACUUGCUGCUCUUUCAGAGGACCUGAGUUCUAUUCCCAGCCCCCACAUGGUAGCUCCCAACCAUCUGUAGCUCCAGCUGCAGGGGAUCUUAUGCCCUCUUCUGGCCUCCACCAGGCACCAGGCAUACACAUGGUGCAUAUAUGUACACACAGGCAAAGCACCCAUACACAUAAAAUUUAAAAAGAAAAUUGUUAAAGAAAAACUCAUGUUAUCAUGU